Long non-coding RNA from Mesocricetus auratus (golden hamster), 1418 nucleotides. RefSeq lists it as uncharacterized. The transcript is spliced from 5 exons. The record is from RefSeq and is a predicted model, not a curated record. Lineage: Eukaryota; Metazoa; Chordata; Mammalia; Rodentia; Cricetidae.
AAAAUGUCAGGGCGACACGCCGCCAAGAUAACAUUAGCGAAAUAUCAAGUCCUUUAUGAUGUCAGGAGGGAUUCCUUCCCGCUGCCGAAGCUGCCUAAUGACAUCAUAAAAUAGGCCUGCAGCAGUCGCAGUCCCCUUGAGUCAUCAAUCAGGCCUGUCUGUGGAGGGCUCUGGGAUGCAGGGUGGGGGUGCAAGAUUUUAAACUCAAAGGAGGCCUCAACACAGCGGCACCUUGAAGGGCUGAGGAACUGAAGACACCUACAGGCUCAGAAAGGACCAGUUCCCUGGGGCUCACCUGGGCUCAAGGAGGGCACUGCUCUGUAUGGCCACGGCUUGUGUCUGGCAAGCAGAUGUUGGAGGGGACCAGGAAGCCUGAAGAGAAAAAGAAGAUCCUAGAGGGCUUUCCACAUUUGACCUCCUGCUGAGCUCCGGGAAACAAAGGAGAAAGAAGAUGUGCCCAUUCACAGAGCAGCAGGCACAACACAUGGUGGACUGGAUCCUGGAAGCUAGAGGUCAGGGUAGCAUACUUCGUAGAUGAAGCUCCUGGGACACAGGCAAGAAAGACAGAAAAUGAAUGUCGGAACAGAAUUCUCCCUUCCCUGAGUAAAGUCCUGGUGAUGAAAGAGUUGGCCUGAGUAGGUGUGAUGAAGUAAGUCCUUGGUGUGACCGAACCUUGCCUGGGAGCUUCUACAAGGCUGCAAGGCAAGGGAAGCCUUCCUGCUGCUCCUGAGGGAAGGACACAGAGAACCUUCUGUGCUCCCCUCAUCCGACAAGAGUCAGUUCCCAGGACCCAAACAUAUCUUACCUACUGAGAUUGCCUGUGCUUUGUAUCUGCUGGAUCUUCUGUGUCCAGGACUGGAAAAGAUGUCUACAACACGGACCUAGAAUGGAAGGAACCCGCUGCCAGGGACUUCUUCUCUUGGGACCACCUGGACUUUCCCAUUGCAAGGGGCCUGUGGGUGAUGUUUGUCCAUCUCAUUACCCUUCCCUACCAGGAAGUUUCUCAUCUGCUGAACAGUGUGACCAGGAACUGGCUGCGGAUGCAAGAGGAAAGUUGGGUGGGAUUUCGGGGUGGGUCUCUUGACUUUGAAUUCUAAUGUAGCAAAGGUUAGAGAGGUAGAGGCCUGGGCCUUGAGACCACAGCUAAAGAAGACCCUGAAAGUCAAAAAAGUCAUGUUACUAGGGUAGGGAAGCUGAUGUGGGGACAAGUGGUACCUGUGUGCAUCUGAAUAUAUGAGUAGGUGUGUGUGUGUGUGUGUGUGUGUGUGUGUGUGUAAGAGAGAUGGGGGUGGAGUGGGGGGGAAGAGAGAACUGUAGAGGCGAUCAAGGGUCAAAGUGAAAGGAAAUAGGUAUGGAUGGACCAUGCCAGAUGAUGACAACAAUGAUGAUAGUCAGUGAGAAUUUAUGCUGUAUGCCAA